RNAcentral lists this ribosomal RNA (337 nucleotides) under uncultured soil bacterium. RNAcentral describes it as "bacterial SSU rRNA". It matches the Rfam family "Bacterial small subunit ribosomal RNA", at positions 26 to 391 of the family's 1533-position model. The record is from RNAcentral.
AGAACGAACGCUGGCGGCAUGCCUAAUACAUGCAAGUCGAACGAACUCUUCGGAGUUAGUGGCGCACGGGUGCGUAACGCGUGGGAAUCUGCCCCUUGGUUCGGAAUAACAGUUGGAAACGACUGCUAAUACCGGAUGAUGACGAAAGUCCAAAGAUUUAUCGCCAAGGGAUGAGCCCGCGUAGGAUUAGCUAGUUGGUGAGGUAAAGGCUCACCAAGGCAACGAUCCUUAGCUGGUCUGAGAGGAUGAUCAGCCACACUGGGACUGAGACACGGCCCAGACUCCUACGGGAGGCAGCAGUGGGGAAUUUUGGACAAUGGGGGCAACCCUGAUCCAG